AGGACAAACGCUGGCGGCGUACCUAAGACAUGCAAGUCGAACGAGGUUUCCGGCUUCGGUUGGAAAGCGAGUGGCGAACGGGUGAGUAACACGUAGGAACCUGUCAUUCAGUGGGGGAUACCGCUGGGAAACCGGCGCUAAUACCGCAUACGGUCCCGGAAACGGGAGCAAAGCCUUUCGAGGCGCUGAAUGAGGGGCCUGUGGCCGAUUAGCUAGUUGGUGGGGUAAAGGCCUACCAAGGCGACGAUCGGUAGCUGGUCUGAGAGGAUGGUCAGCCACACUGGGACUGAGACACGGCCCAGACUCCUACGGGAGGCAGCAGUUAGGAAAUUUUCACAAUGGGGGAAACCCUGAUGGAGUAACGCCGCGUGGAGGAUGACGGCCUUCGGGUUGUAACUCCUUUCUGUGGGAAGAGAAGAAGACGGUACCACAGGAAGAAGCAUCGGCUAACUACGUGCCAGCAGCCGC
This 468-nucleotide ribosomal RNA is filed under the name uncultured bacterium. RNAcentral describes it as "SSU rRNA". It matches the Rfam family "Bacterial small subunit ribosomal RNA", at positions 26 to 518 of the family's 1533-position model. The record is from RNAcentral.